GUGAGGAAUAUUGGUCAAUGGGCGAGAGCCUGAACCAGCCAAGUCGCGUGAAGGGAGAAGGAUCUAUGGUUCGUAAACUUCUUUUGCAGGGGAAUAAAGUGCAGGACGUGUCCUGUUUUGUAUGUACCCUGAGAAUAAGGAUCGGCUAACUCCGUGCCAGCAGCCGCGGUAAUACGGAGGAUCCGAGCGUUAUCCGGAUUUAUUGGGUUUAAAGGGUGCGUAGGUGGUUUGAUAAGUCAGCGGUGAAAGUUUGCAGCUUAACUGUAAAAAUGCCGUUGAAACUGUCGGACUUGAGUGUAAAUGAGGUAGGCGGAAUGCGUGGUGUAGCGGUGAAAUGCAUAGAUAUCACGCAGAACUCCGAUUGCGAAGGCAGCUUACUAAGCUACAACUGACACUGAAGCACGAAAGCGUGGGGAUCAAACAGGAUUAGAAACCCGUGUAGUCC
RNAcentral lists this ribosomal RNA (445 nucleotides) under uncultured bacterium. Its description in RNAcentral is "partial 16S ribosomal RNA". It matches the Rfam family "Bacterial small subunit ribosomal RNA", at positions 354 to 796 of the family's 1533-position model. The record is from RNAcentral.